RRUUUCUUGCUUGGCCAUCUUGAGUCCCUCGCCGUAACGGUGCGUGAGUGGUGUUUGGCGUGUUACGGGCGAUUGGAUCCCUGCUUGUGCAGCAACUUUCGUCGGUUCACGCCUCUUCAUUUGUGCGUCAAGGUCUCUUGUACCUUGGGCUUCGCUUAUGGGUUUCCUGUGCCGACUACCUACGUGACGGUAUUGCUUUGUUUACGAAGGUCCCUUUUUCGUCAUGCGUUGCUCUGGCGGCGCAAGGCGAACCUUGAAGCGUGCUCUGUGUUCCCUCUCGAUGGUCUUAUCGGUCGUCUGAGAAGGGCACAUGGAGUGUUCGCUUGGUAUCUUGGGUAUGGAACCUUACAUGGGUAUGGGGCCUCUAUGGUCUUGUGUUACCCUAAUCAAACAGCGUUUGCUUAAAGAAAACGACAGCCGAUCAUGUACGGGCACUAGUUCGUACGGUUCGGCUUCGUUGCAAGAGGAAUGC
RNAcentral lists this unclassified non-coding RNA (472 nucleotides) under Goodenia decursiva. RNAcentral describes it as "partial external transcribed spacer". The record is from RNAcentral. Lineage: Eukaryota; Viridiplantae; Streptophyta; Magnoliopsida; Asterales; Goodeniaceae.